Molecule: RNA transcript, 1596 nt
Organism: Bufo bufo (common toad)
Lineage: Eukaryota; Metazoa; Chordata; Amphibia; Anura; Bufonidae
Exons: 4
Source: RefSeq, a predicted model, not a curated record
CGCUUGUCGGGAAGGUACAAAUGUUUGGGAAGCUGCGCCGCUUCCUGUCAGCGAGCCCCGUGCUGUACGGACUGGAGGAAAAGUCCCAAAAACCCACCGGCCCCGAGGACAGCCGCUCGAUAAUGAUUGCACCACUGCAGAAUCUGUCCGUCUGAACGCGUCUUCGCCAUUGAAUAUCUGGGUGCCACUGUGUGCUGCCACUCAUCAGCAUGCCAUCAUGCAUCGUGCGUGGCUGCACCUACUCCUGGUACAAGAAGGAUCCCAACAUAACGUUACAUAGUUUUCCAAGAGACCUAGACACAAUCAAGACCUGGCUUUUACAAACCAAGCAAGAUUUUGGAAACCUAGAUGAGUUUUCCCAACGUGUCCUGGAGGGAACCAAAACCGGCAUGUAUCGCAUAUGUUCUCAGCAUUUCACUGCUGACUCCUAUGAGCGAUGUGGACUUAUAACAUAUGUGAAAAAGGGAGCCGUUCCCACUAUAUUUCCUGCCCAUACACCUGGCAUGAACACCUCACAAAAUAAACCUGUAGCCCCCAAAAAGAGGAAAGCUCCGACCGUGUCAUUACCUAGGGCAGCAGGGGCAGAUGUAGGCGUUCUCCAGCCCAUCAUUGGUAAAGAUGGAAACUACGCCACUGCCAGUCCUUUCGUCUCAGGCAUUCAUUUCAGGACCGUGUCAUUGCCAGUGACAAAGAAAAAGGAUUCUGGUUUAUCUAAAAGAGAUGUCGGGACUUGUACAGACUAUUUCCCUGGUCAGGUUCACAAGCAGACUAACACAGAACCUUUCUGUGGGACACAGAAUAAAGAGGUUCAGUGCUGUUCACGAAAAGCACAUCAAAGUAUUGGACUACAGUGCAAUCUGGCAGACCUGCCUCCGCUAGAGGGAUGGUGGUCUGAGAGCCAAGAGUCCGUGCACGGCUCCUCUCCAGACAGAGGAACACCUCCCAACGAUGAGGCAGUUGUUCCUUUAUCCGUGACGCACAGGAAACUGAGAAGUAUUAAUAAUUAGUGUCAGAACUUGCCUCAAGCCAAAGCUCUUCGGUGACAAAUGCACCACAGUCAGGGUCAGAUUGAUGUCCUCUGAAACAACCUGACAAACUACAUGUCGCAUCCGGAAUACUUUAUCACCUCAUUCAUUCGAAGAUCUGAACCAGUUGGAGAAGACAUGCUGUCUGACAGGGAUGUCCUACCAAUCUGCUGACUUCAUGUUCUACUGUAGACUGCAGAGCUGGUGUUCUCCAUGUCGAGGAGCCGUUCAGCUGGUGCCCUGAGUGAAUGCUGGUUUAAUCCUUUAUGGACAUAUUCAACCCUGUCGACUACAAGAAAAUGUUCACACUUUCAAGAAACCCAGAUUAUUUCUCUACAGCCAUAUAUUUUCCUGAAAGUAGACAUCUAGCACAUUGCUAGUGGAUGAAGCUUUCUAGUUCAGGCUCCUAACAACUGAUCUGUGGGGGUGUGGAAUGUCUGAUCCGAUUUUUGAUGACUUGUUCAAAAUAAAGGUUUGUGGUUUAGUGUGAAAUGGGUUUGGCCUAUCAGAAAGGGGGCAUGGCUUACAAUGCAACAACUUGUGCCCAAAUUUUGGUAAAAAAAUUCUGAUA